Molecule: ribosomal RNA, 467 nt
Filed under: uncultured bacterium
Lineage: Bacteria
Description: bacterial SSU rRNA
Rfam family: Bacterial small subunit ribosomal RNA
Source: RNAcentral
GACGAACGCUGGCGGCGUGCCUAACACAUGCAAGUCGAACGGAGAUGUUGAUUUCGGUUGACGUCUUAGUGGCGAACGGGUGAGUAACGCGUGAACAAUCUGACCUUAAGAGGGGGAUAACAACGAGAAAUCGUUGCUAAUACCGCAUAAGACCACAAUGCCGCAUGGCGAAGGGGUCAAAGGAGCAAUCCGCUUAAGGAGGGGUUCGCGUCCCAUUAGGUAGUAGGUGAGGUAACGGCCCACCUAGCCGACGAUGGGUAGCCGAGCUGAGAGGCUGAUCGGCCACACUGGAACUGAGACACGGUCCAGACUCCUACGGGAGGCAGCAGUGGGGAAUAUUGGGCAAUGGGCGCAAGCCUGACCCAGCAACGCCGCGUGAGGGAAGAAGGUUUUCGGAUUGUAAACCUCUGUCGCAGAUGACGAAACAAAUGACGGUAAUCUGUGAGGAAGCCCCGGCUAACUACGUG